UCAACCUACGGGGGGCAGCAGUGGGGGAUAUUGCACAAUGGGGGAAACCCUGAUGCAGCGACGCCGCGUGGGUGAAGAAGCGCCUCGGCGCGUAAAGCCCUGUCAGCAGGGAAGAAAAUGACGGUACCUGAAGAAGAAGCCCCGGCUAACUACGUGCCAGCAGCCGCGGUAAUACGUAUGGUGCAAGCGUUAUCCGGAUUUACUGGGUGUAAAGGGAGCGCAGGCGGCACGGCAAGCCUGAUGUGAAAGCCCGGGGCCCAACCCCGGGACUGCUCUUGGAACUGCGUGGCUGGAGUGCAGGAGGG
RNAcentral lists this ribosomal RNA (305 nucleotides) under uncultured bacterium. RNAcentral describes it as "bacterial SSU rRNA". It matches the Rfam family "Bacterial small subunit ribosomal RNA", at positions 332 to 656 of the family's 1533-position model. The record is from RNAcentral.